CCUACGGGAGGCAGCAGUGAGGAAUAUUGGUCAAUGGCCGGAAGCCUGAACCAGCCAAGUCGCGUGAGGGAAGAAGGUACUGAGUAUUGUAAACCUCUUUUGCCAGGGGACAAAGUCAGCCUCGGGAGGCCGUAAGAGGGUACCUGGAGAAAAAGCAUCGGCUAACUCCGUGCCAGCAGCCGCGGUAAUACGGAGGAUGCGAGCGUUCUCCGGAUUUAUUGGGUUUAAAGGGUGCGCAGGCGGCGUGUAAAGUCAGCGGUAAAAUGUCGGGGCUCAACCCCGGCCGGCCGUUGAGACUGGCGGGCUCGAGAUGGAGAGAAGUAUGCGGAAUUCGUGGUGUAGCGGUGAAAUGCUUAGAUAGUACGAAGAACCCCGAUUGCGAAGGCAGCAUACCGGCUCCACACUGACGCUGAGGCACGAAAGCGUGGGUAUCGAACAGGAUUAGAUACCCCUGUAGUC
This 459-nucleotide ribosomal RNA is filed under the name uncultured bacterium. Its description in RNAcentral is "partial 16S ribosomal RNA". It matches the Rfam family "Bacterial small subunit ribosomal RNA", at positions 338 to 795 of the family's 1533-position model. The record is from RNAcentral.